RNAcentral lists this transfer RNA (53 nucleotides) under Xiphinema pachtaicum. RNAcentral's name for it is "tRNA-Leu". Lineage: Eukaryota; Metazoa; Nematoda; Enoplea; Dorylaimida; Longidoridae. The record is from RNAcentral.
GUUAAUUUGGCAGAGAAGUGCAUUGAAUUUAAGAUUCAGAAAUCUUAUUAACA